Rhinopithecus roxellana (golden snub-nosed monkey) is the source of this 3328-nucleotide long non-coding RNA. RefSeq lists it as uncharacterized. The record is from RefSeq and is a predicted model, not a curated record. The transcript is spliced from 3 exons. NCBI's taxonomy places the organism in Eukaryota, Metazoa, Chordata, Mammalia, Primates, Cercopithecidae.
CUCCGGACACCGGGCGGGGUGGGCGCGGGGCAGGGGCCACACUGAGCGGCUCAGCCCGCCACGUCUGCACGCUCUGGGCUCCUGGUCCCAGGGACAGCCUGGCCCCGCCACCCACCGUCAGACCCCGCUAGCGACCGCGGUUCCCACCGCCGCGCCCUGGGGCCCGAGGCUCGGCCCGCGUGAGCCCACAGCGCCCCCUGGCGGGAGGGUCCGACGCCGCCGCUGAACCCCGGCCCUCCUGCGGUCGGACAGGACCCGGACCCUUCCGGGCGCCCCAGCCGUCCCCACAACCCCACAAAGAGGGUCCUGAGGUCUCCUUUGCACAGGGAAGUUAACUGAGGCUCAGAAAAGCCAGGCGACUUGACCAAGCCCAACAGCAGAGGUGGGUUGGGGGAGCCGGGGGCUGGAGAGGAGACCCAGGGUGCAGUCAGAGGAGGGGUGGGGUGAGCUAGGGAGCUGGUCAGCCUCCAACAGCCCCCAACUCCUCCUACGGCCCCUGGCCCCUGUCUGGCCGGCUCCUUCUGGAAGACACUAGCUGUGGGCUUAGCCCUGGAUCCACACCCACCCGAGGACAGGACAGCACCACGUGUGAGCCUCUUCCACCAAGCCCACACCAUCUCCCGGGCCCAAGGGCAGGGUAACUACCCCGGUGCAGCCUGUCCCUCCCAAAUUGUCCCUUGAUGCUAAAUUUUUGCUUUAAUGGCAAUGUGUUUGUUAUGAACUAUUUGUGUUCCUCCAAAAUUCGUAUUUUGAAAUCCCACCCGCCAAGCUGAUGGUAUCAGGAGAAGGGGGCCUUUGGGAGAUGACAGGUCAUGGCGGUGGAGUCCUCCUGAAUGGGAUGAGUGCCUUUAGGAAACAGACGCUCUCGAGCUCUCAAACCCAUGUCAUGAUAUAGUGAGAAGACGGCCCUCUACGGCCUGGGAGCGGGUCUCUCCCAGAACCUGACUGUGCCUGCACCUCAUCUCUGAUCUCCAGCCUCCAGAACCGUGAGAAAUAAACGUCUGUUGUUUCUAUUGCCAUUGGAUCUAUGGUACUUUGCUACAGCAGUCCAGGAUAAGACAGUGUCUGUCAUUCAAACCUAUAUAAAACCCUACAGAACUUACCCAUCCGCCCAUACCCUAGAGACAAGCCCUUGGCCUGGAGUGUGCCGGUGCCCACCCUCCAAAGCUGCUCUGUUUUGCAGGUCAGCCUGGGCUGCACUGGGCCAAACAGGAACCAGGAGGCAGAUGUCCAUGGCAAGAGUGUGCCCAGCCCCAGAGGAGGCUGUCUGCUCAUCCUUCACCAAAACUCCCCUCAGAUCUGCUCUAGGAAGGGGAAAUGAGUAGAAGCAGGGGUUCUUCUGAGAUGAAAUAGGGGGAAGAAAACCCUGCAGCCUGGGUGGGAGCAGCCUCCUCCCACUGGAUCCUCAGGAAACCUCUCUUUCCAAGGGGCAGGGGAGAGGGUUCCAGCCUCCUGGAGGACCCUUCACUGAGGACAGAGCCCAGCCUGUUGAGCAGCACAGGACAAGUGCAAGAACUCAGCCUAAACCCCAUAGCCUCCUCCCACUCACGUGCUAAUCCCAGAAAAGUCACCCCAAAAGCAAAUCCCCAGGUGGCAGAAGCCAGAAACACCUGUUAUGAAGAGUACCCAGACAGUGAGCAGGUGUUUAUUAGGGUCCUUUUUCAUUACCCCAGAGACAGACCCAGGGCUGGCUGCGUGCACAGGAAGUAACGCUUGCCACAUGCAUAAAUACGUGAAGAUGCACAUUACGUCAGCACAGAGUCACAAAACACUUAGCCUUGGCAAGAAAACACUGUAGCUAGGCAGCUCCCAUUCUCAGAGACUCCUGCCACAGAUGUCACGGAGACAGCAUGGGCCUCCCCAGGGACAGUCCCCAUGGCCUAGACUCCCCAGAGCUGGAGGAGCAGCCCAGGCUCUGUGGUGAGAUGGCCAUCACUUACUGUUCUUGGCAGGAGCCUAAGGUUACCUGGCCAAAGUCUUGAUGGAAAAAAUGAGUUUUUUCAAUGUUCCAGGUCUUUUAAUAGUUCGUCUGUAGGAAGUGCAUUUGCAAAGUCACCAACCUGCAGCUUCCAUCUCUAGACCAGGAACGGUGAUUCUCUGGUUGACCACAGCAGGACAUCCCCUGAGGUACACAGACCCCCUCCCACCCCCACAGUGUUCUCGCAGCCACCACAGCGCUUGCAGUUUGGCUCAAGCAAGCCCUGGCAAGCCCCACCCCUCAUGCUGGCUCUGCUGUGAAGCUAUCCUCUCGUCGGGCAGCAAGUUCAGGCCCUACGCAGAGCCAUCCUGAGGCUUGUAAAUGAAGCAGGCGUCAUCAGAGCAGGACUCCGCUGUGGUCACCGGCUUCUCCUUCCACACAGCUUCCCCUGCAACACAGCUUCCCCAAAACACUGCACGGCCACUGACCUCCGGCUUCAAGCAAAGGAGAGGCUGUGAGGGGAGCCCUGGGAGGAUGUGGAGACCCCCAGAGAAUCUUCUCCCACCCUGCUCCAAACAACAGUCAAGACCAGGAAAAUGAGGCCUCUACUUUGUGAACAACAGAGCCGCCCAUGUGGUCACACGGCGUCUUCCUCCUGAGACACCCACCACACACCGAGAAGCAGAGCUCGGUUGACGGUCCACAGCAUGACAGUUCAUUGCACUACUGGAGGGAAUGGGCCAGGGCCUCCCGUUGGUCUCCUGAAGGGAAAUGGGGGUUGGACCCAGAGCCAAGCUGCAGUCAGGGAUGAGGCCUGCACCGUGCAGCACACAGGAAACCUUCAGAGGUGCGGCUGGCAGCUCAGGGUCUGCAGCCAAGGACGGCCAGCCCACCUGGACACUCUCCUGGGGUGGCCCUGGCUGCACAGGUGGAGUCAGAACAGGCAAGUCCUCCUGGUGGCAGCUCCAAGCUCAGGGCAAGUCCCACCCCAAAGAAAAGCUGCCUGUUGGACUUCCCGGGCAGCGCCAAGCCUGUCCAGCUGCCCUGAGGAGACGUCCCAGGGCUGAAGGCAGCUGGAGCCCUGCCAUGCAAACAGCACACAGCACGUAGGGUGCAUAGGAUGACACAGCCGCUGCUCCUCCUCUGGGUGUGCGCCCACCCAGGGUUCUGCCAACACAGCAGCAGAGAGGCCAAGAGUCAUGUGAAGCACGGGCAGCGAGGGGCACGGGCUCCAGUCACGGCCAUCCAGCAGCACGGCAGCUGCUUCCAGGGCAGAGGCACAGCAGAACUUGCGGAAGCAGGCCUUGAAGUUCUCAUCCAGGAAGGCAUAGAGGAUGGGGUUGAGGCAGCUGUUGACGUAGCCCAGGGCUGUGCAGAAGCGUAGGAUGGCCACGGCAGUCUCGCUGCCUG